Molecule: small nuclear RNA, 127 nt
Organism: Leucoraja erinaceus (little skate)
Lineage: Eukaryota; Metazoa; Chordata; Chondrichthyes; Rajiformes; Rajidae
Source: RefSeq, a predicted model, not a curated record
GUGUUGUAUGAAAGGAGAGAAGGUUAGUAUUCCCCUUGAUAAGGGUGGAAGGGGCCCUAGUGACCUUACAACACACAAAUGGUUACGGCAAUGCCAUCUACUUAGUGGCAUCUAAUCAUGUUUUUUA